ACAGAGACUGCAAGCGUUAUUCGGAUUCACUGGGCGUAAAGGGUGCGCAGGCGGUCGUGUGUGUCAGAUGUGAAAUCCCGGAGCUUAACUCCGGAACUGCGUCUGAAACUACAUGACUAGAGCAUUGGAGAGGGAAGUGGAAUUCAUGGUGUAGCAGUGAAAUGCGUAGAUAUCAUGAGGAACACCAGAGGCGAAGGCGACUUCCUGGACAAUAGCUGACGCUCAGGCACGAAAGCAUGGGGAGCAAAAGGGAUUAGAUACCCCUGUAGUCCAUGCCCUAAACGGUGCACACUAGGUCUUGGAGGAUUCGACCCCUUCAGGGCCCAAGCUAACGCGUUAAGUGUGCCGCCUGAGGACUACGGUCGCAAGACUA
This 373-nucleotide ribosomal RNA is filed under the name uncultured bacterium. RNAcentral's name for it is "bacterial SSU rRNA". It matches the Rfam family "Bacterial small subunit ribosomal RNA", at positions 525 to 896 of the family's 1533-position model. The record is from RNAcentral.